RNAcentral lists this ribosomal RNA (354 nucleotides) under uncultured bacterium. RNAcentral's name for it is "bacterial SSU rRNA". It matches the Rfam family "Bacterial small subunit ribosomal RNA", at positions 29 to 406 of the family's 1533-position model. The record is from RNAcentral.
AACGAACGCUGGCGGCAUGCCUAACACAUGCAAGUCGAACGGGAUCCUAGCUUGCUAGGUGAGAGUGGCGGACGGGUGAGUAACACGUGGGAAUCUGCCUUUUGGUUCGGGAUAACCGCGGAAACUGCGGCUAAUACCGAAUGCCCUCGAGAGAGGAAAGAUUUAUCGCCAGAAGAGGAGCCCGCGUCCGAUUAGGUAGUUGGUGGGGUAAAGCCUACAAGCCGACGAUCGGUAGCUGGUCUGAGAGGAUGAUCAGCCACACUGGGACUGAGAUACGGCCCAGACUCCUACGGGAGCGAGCAGUGGGGAAUAUUGGACAAUGGGGCAACCCUGAUCCAGCAAUGCCGCGUGAGU